CAUAGCGUAUAUUAAAGUUGUUGCAGUUAAAAAGCUCGUAGUUGAAUUUCGGGUUUCCGGCGCUCCCGCUUCAUUGCGGGGACACGGGGACCCUCCUCGCCUUAGGGCGUCAUUUACUGUGGAAAAAUUAGAGUGUUCAAAGCAGGCAAUCGCUUGAAUACAUUAGCAUGGAAUAAUAAGAUAGGAUUACGUCUAUUUUGUUGGUUGCGGACGAUAAUAAUGAUUAAUAGGGAUAGUUGGGGGUGUCCGUAUUGAGCUGUCAGAGGUGAAAUUCUUGGAUUUGCUCAAGACGAACUACUGCGAAAGCAUUCACCAAGGAUGUUUUCAUUAAUCAAGAACGAAAGUCAGGGGAUCGAAGAGGAUUAGAUACCCUCGUAGUCUUGACCAUAAACUAUGCCGACUCGGGAUUGGCAGACGUUGUAUCGACUCUGUCAGCACCGUAUGAUAAAUCAAAGUCUUUGGGUUCCGGGGGGAGUAUGGUCGCAAGGCUGAAACUUAAAGGAAUUGACGGAAGGGCACCACCAGGAGUGGAGCCUGCGGCUUAAUUUGAC
This 551-nucleotide ribosomal RNA is filed under the name uncultured marine picoplankton. Its description in RNAcentral is "SSU rRNA". It matches the Rfam family "Eukaryotic small subunit ribosomal RNA", at positions 593 to 1199 of the family's 1831-position model. The record is from RNAcentral.